RNAcentral lists this ribosomal RNA (253 nucleotides) under uncultured bacterium. RNAcentral's name for it is "partial 16S ribosomal RNA". It matches the Rfam family "Bacterial small subunit ribosomal RNA", at positions 524 to 776 of the family's 1533-position model. The record is from RNAcentral.
UACGUAGGGUGCAAGCGUUAAUCGGAAUUACUGGGCGUAAAGCGUGCGCAGGCGGUGAUGUAAGACAGGUGUGAAAUCCCCGGGCUUAACCUGGGAACUGCAUUUGUGACUGCAUCGCUGGAGUGCGGCAGAGGGGGAUGGAAUUCCGCGUGUAGCAGUGAAAUGCGUAGAUAUGCGGAGGAACACCGAUGGCGAAGGCAAUCCCCUGGGCCUGCACUGACGCUGAGGCGCGAAAGCUAGGGGAGCAAACGGG